GACGAACGCUGGCGGCGUGCUUAACACAUGCAAGUCGAACGGUGAAGCGCCUUCCUUUUUGGUGGGUGUGGAUGAGCGGCGAACGGGUGAGUAACACGUGAGUAACCUGCCCCCUUCUUCUGGAUAACCGCAUGAAAGUGUGGCUAAUACGGGAUAUUCUGGGUCUGUCGCAUGAUGGGUCUGGGAAAGAUAUUGUUUCGGUGGGGGAUGGGCUCGCGGCCUAUCAGCUUGUUGGUGGGGUGAGGGCCUACCAAGGCGGUGACGGGUAGCCGGCCUGAGAGGGUGGGCGGUCACACUGGGACUGAGCCACGGCCCAGACUCCUACGGGAGGCAGCAGUGGAGAAUAUUGCACGAUGGGCGCCAGCCUGAUGCAGCGACGCCGCGUGAGGGAUGGAGGCCUUCGGGUUGUGAACCUCUUUCGCCAGUGAAGCAGGCCUGCCGCGUUUGUGGGUGGGUUGACGGUAGCUGGAUAAGAAGCGCCGGCUAACUACGUG
RNAcentral lists this ribosomal RNA (494 nucleotides) under uncultured bacterium. RNAcentral describes it as "partial 16S ribosomal RNA". It matches the Rfam family "Bacterial small subunit ribosomal RNA", at positions 28 to 507 of the family's 1533-position model. The record is from RNAcentral.